GUUAGCUAGAAGCAAGUUCAAAAAGAAUUCAGAAAGGGAGGUGGUGGGGGUGGUUAGGAAGGCAGGUCAGUAGACAACUUCUGUGACAUCCUAAGGAGUUCAGACUUGGCCCUGUAGCAGUGAGAAGGCAGUUAAGGAUUUUAAGCAUUGUGCAAAACAGAGUAAUAGACUGCAGUCUGUCAUGACUAGAAGAAGGGGUCUCAUUGGAAGAAACUGGAGGGACAAAUCAGACUCUGAACAAAACUAGCAGCACUGGGGAUGGAGCAAAGGGAUUGAAUACAAGAUAUAUGAAUGAUGUAAAAUUUACAGGCCAUGGUGACUAUUUGGACACGGGACAUGGAGAGAAGACUGCUCUGGCAGCCUAGGGAGCUGUUGGUUAUCUUUAGGGAUGGGAAGACAUACAAGAAAGCAACCAGUUACUGGAUUAUAUGAGGAAGGCUGUGACAGAGGCCAUACCGGAUGCUGCAGGAACACAGAAAAAGAAGGAUCUACGCCCUUUGAUGAAUUCCCAGGAAGCCUUCCCAGAUGUGUCAGUGGGCUCUUGAAGGGUGCUCAUCUACUGGAAAGGCUUCAACUUUCACCUUUGCUGAUGACGUUCCAGUCCCAGUCUGCCCAAUCUGAAUUCUUCCUCAGCCUCUGCUUAGCUUCCUAUCCUCCGUUCCUUCUCCUAUGAUCUAGGCAGACAUUGAGGAUUAUGCCUGGCACAUUUUCUCAGAGGGCCAAGGCACAGCCUUAAUUUUCUACUCAACUGGGAGCUCUAGGCACCCAUUACCAUUCAGAGUUGGCAUUCGAGACAAAAACUAUUUUUUUCCUGAAUCUAGUCCUUUUAAUUUUAAGCACCUUAAGGAAUAUACCUUUUAAAGUGUCUUGAAGGAUUUCAUUCCCCCAUUCAUUCAGCAAACUGUAAAGAGCUUCCCAUGUGCUGCCUGUUGAAUGCAACAUCCUCCCUCUCAAACCCUCUCCUGCUCAACAGGUCCCCUGCUAUCAAUGAUACCAGCAAUAGCACUGAAAGAAUAAAUAUACACCAGAUAACACAGGUGAGUGGGCACAGCUCUCCAUGCCACCCUAGUUCCUCACAAAGGCAUGCCCAAUAUUUGGAGGUACUGACAGCCUUAGAGGAAGGAGAAAUCCACCAGGUCAGAAAAAUUCUGAGCUGUAGGCUUGCUGCCUUUCUUACCUACAUUUGAGGAAAGGCCAGGUUAGCAUCCAAGAGUCCACCCUAUCACCAUAUAAAGAAUUCCAUGCCAGACACAUAUACUUCUAUUUCCUAAUGCUGGUCCUGGGUCUACAGUGGUCUUAUUAUAAUCAGUAGACCAUUCUAGUUCAAGCCCUUAUCCCCUCCUAUAUGGAUAACUGUAACAGACUCUCCUCUCCAGUUCAUCCUAUAAAUGCCAUAGCCAAACUCUACCCCAAUUUUAACUCCUAGUAAUUACUGAUUUGUUCUAUAGGUUGGUGCAACAGUAAUUGCGGUUUUCACCAUUAAAAGUAAUGGCGAAAGUAAUGCUUAGCCUCCUAUUUGGCGAAACUGUAAUGGUGAAAACUGUAAUUACUGUUGCAUCAACCUAAUACAACACUGCAAUUUUGUUUUUUAAGAAUUUCAAAUAGGCCAGGCACGGUGGCUCACACCUGUAAUCCCAGCACUUUGGAAGGCCGAGGCGGGUGGAUCACCAGGUCAGGAGUUCAAGACCAGCCUGACCAACAUGGUGAAACCCCAUCUCUACUAAAAAUACAAAAAUAAGUUGGGUGUAGUGGCGUGCGCCUGUAGUCCCAGCUACUCAGGAGGCUGAGGCAGG
This 1793-nucleotide long non-coding RNA is filed under the name Homo sapiens (human). Its description in RNAcentral is "non-protein coding lnc-SAXO1-1:1". The record is from RNAcentral. Lineage: Eukaryota; Metazoa; Chordata; Mammalia; Primates; Hominidae.